This 428-nucleotide ribosomal RNA is filed under the name uncultured bacterium. RNAcentral describes it as "partial 16S ribosomal RNA". It matches the Rfam family "Bacterial small subunit ribosomal RNA", at positions 355 to 775 of the family's 1533-position model. The record is from RNAcentral.
UAGGGAAUCUUCCACAAUGGACACAAGUCUGAUGGAGCAACGCCGCGUGAGUGAAGAAGGCUUUCGGGUCGUAAAACUCUGUUAUUGAAGAAGAACGUGUGUGACAGUAACUGGUCAUGCAGUGACGGUAUUCAAUCAGAAAGUCACGGCUAACUACGUGCCAGCAGCCGCGGUAAUACGUAGGUGGCGAGCGUUGUCCGGAUUUAUUGGGCGUAAAGCGAGUGCAGGCGGUCUUUUAAGUCUGAUGUGAAAGCCUUCGGCUUAACCGAAGAAGGGCAUCGGAAACUGGGAGACUUGAGUGCAGAAGAGGAGAGUGGAACUCCAUGUGUAGCGGUGAAAUGCGUAGAUAUAUGGAAGAACACCAGUGGCGAAGGCGGCUCUCUGGUCUGUAACUGACGCUGAGGCUCGAAAGCGUGGGUAGCAAACAG